GAUGAACGCUGGCGGCGUGCCUAAUACAUGCAAGUCGAGCGAACAGACGAUGAUCUUGCUCCUCUGACGUUAGCGGCGGACGGGUGAGUAACGCGUGUAUAACCUACCUAUAAUACUGGUAUAACUUCGGGAAACCGGAGCUAAUACCGUAUAAUAUAUUGAACCACAUGGUUCAAUAGUGAAAUACGGUUUUGCUGUCUCUUAUAGAUGGAUCCCCGCCGCAUUAGCUAGUUGUUAAGUUAACGGCUUACCAAGGCGACGAUGCGUGGCCGAAGUGAGAGGGUGAUCGGCCACACUGGAGCUGAGACAGGGUCAAGACUCCUAAGGGACGCAGCAGUAGGGAAUCUGCCGCAAUGGGCGAAAGCAUGACGGAGCAACGCCGAGUGAGUGAUGACGGUCCUCGGAUCGUAAAAAUCUGUUAUUAGGGAAGAACAAAUGUGUAAGUAAAUAUGCACGUAUUGACGGUAACUAAUAAGAAAGCAACGGCUAACUACGUG
RNAcentral lists this ribosomal RNA (497 nucleotides) under uncultured bacterium. RNAcentral describes it as "partial 16S ribosomal RNA". It matches the Rfam family "Bacterial small subunit ribosomal RNA", at positions 28 to 507 of the family's 1533-position model. The record is from RNAcentral.